This 293-nucleotide long non-coding RNA is filed under the name Lathyrus oleraceus (garden pea). RNAcentral describes it as "Pisum sativum (pea) long non-coding RNA (PSAT_LNC023397)". The record is from RNAcentral. Lineage: Eukaryota; Viridiplantae; Streptophyta; Magnoliopsida; Fabales; Fabaceae.
UCAGCAAUAAACAAGUGACAAGUAACUCCUUUCUUCCCUGAUGUGCCCUCCCUCAAUAGCUAUUGGGAUAGAAAAGUUUUAAGAAAAUUGCAUGAGAAAGAAACCAAACAAAAACACUUGAAUAACAACCAUUAUAACCUUGAAUAGCCACACAUCACCACAAUUGCCAUCGGUAUAAUGAAAAAAAUUGAAACACUUGAAAAUCAUCUAGUGAUAUUAAACUGGAAAAUUGCAUAUUUUUCAAUUCAAGGUGACUGCUUUAUGAAAAGAAAGAUGCAGAAAGGUAAGAAAGG